UGAGAUCUAACUGCCUGCAGUUUGUCUCCUGCAGACUCACUCACACAUCUAUACAGGAAAACAAGAAUACAUAUCCACAAAUACACACCAGACAGAAAUCUGACUACUCACAGGUCAGAGCCAGGCUGAAACCUGUUUUGAUGCAAAGCUUUCUGGGAAUUCUGUCUUCUCUCUUUUCCUCCUAAUUGCCUUGUUUACUUUUUGAGGUCGACUUCAAGUGGUUUUGUGACUAAAAGCUUUCCACGGCGAUGACUGAUGUCUUGGACAGGACACGAGUGGGAUUACAAGACACUUUGGCCACCACAGCGAGGAUGAAUAAAUUCCUACUUCCAGGACACUUCAGAGGACACUACGGUUUAUUAGUUUUGGAAGGAUCCCCAGCUCUUCACAGUGGCCAUUAAUGAGAUGCUGUAAAACGAAUGGAAAAGCGCAGAGUGCGAAUGUGAAUGUUUUUCUUCACUGCAAAGGUCGUCACCUUUCUGUGCCGCUGUGCAGAAGUUUUUGUUUACGUCAGUUAUAGCAAGAUGAGGCAAGAUUUCUUAGUAAGACUACUGCUGGCUAAAAACAAGUUUUAAAAUCCCCUAGUUUGUUAAGUUUGGUAUAUUGCCAGCAGGAAAUAGCCACAGCAUCAUCUUCUCCCAACUAUUCGCCAUGUACUCUACUAUGUUACCAAACAGCAUUACAAUAAGAAUUACAAACAGUACAAAGGUCUGUAUUGCAAAGUAAUUUGAGUACAUAUGAUCAAGUGAAUCUUGCUUAAAGCUGCACUAAUAAAUAUUUUUAUAGUAAAAAUGGUUCAAAUGACGA
Thunnus maccoyii (southern bluefin tuna) is the source of this 807-nucleotide long non-coding RNA. RefSeq lists it as uncharacterized. The record is from RefSeq and is a predicted model, not a curated record. Lineage: Eukaryota; Metazoa; Chordata; Actinopteri; Scombriformes; Scombridae. The transcript is spliced from 2 exons.